UUACGAGAUUACUAAACGAAUGAGCCGACUUAGCUAUUUUCUUUUAAUCGAUUAAAUAGAGCGAGAUCUUUUAAUACCAUGUAAGUUAGAACACCCUAAGACGAACGGGUUAGUCAUAGUUAUUUAUCCGAUCGUACGAGACGAGCUUCAGUUAGUUAUCUUGCUUAAUCAAUCCGAUAGUUGGGAUUAAUAAUAGAAUUAUCAAGAAUAAUAAAUCAUGCAUAAGAGAGUCAUGCAUAUUUAAUUUCGUAUUCUCAUUAUUUGAGAAUUCUGCUCGAGCAAAUAUCUUAUUUAAAUUCUCGCAAUAAAGGUCAAGCGUGAGAGUAAUACCUAGACGAGAGCUACGGCACCACAACUAGAGCUAUAAUCAGGUUGAUGGCUGGUGUUGACGGGGAGAGCUGAGGCUAGGGUUCAACUCCGUGUUUUGACUUCCGCUGUUGUGCUAGCCUUUAUCUGUCUUUCGUUCUCUUGACUUAAGACCCUUAUGUUAUGACUCUAAACGAUAUCUUUUGUUGAGCUUAGAGUUUUGACUCUCAAGUAUUUUGAUUAAGGAAUGUUGGUUAUCUGAAGCAUGAAACUAAACUUAUGUGAUCCUGAGUUUGAAUAUUGUCAUUUGAUUGGCAACUCUUAAGGCCUUUCAAUUUACCUCCUUUCA
Molecule: long non-coding RNA, 655 nt
Organism: Salvia miltiorrhiza (redroot sage)
Lineage: Eukaryota; Viridiplantae; Streptophyta; Magnoliopsida; Lamiales; Lamiaceae
Exons: 2
Source: RefSeq, a predicted model, not a curated record